UACGAAGGGGGCUAGCGUUGCUCGGAAUCACUGGGCGUAAAGCGCACGUAGGCGGCUUUUUAAGUCAGGGGUGAAAUCCUGGAGCUCAACUCCAGAACUGCCUUUGAUACUGGGAAGCUUGAGUCCGGGAGAGGUGAGUGGAACUCCGAGUGUAGAGGUGAAAUUCGUAGAUAUUCGGAAGAACACCGAUGGCGAAGGCAGCCCCCUGGGCUGAGAUUGACGCUCAGGCACGAAAGCGUGGGGAGCAAACAGG
Molecule: ribosomal RNA, 253 nt
Filed under: uncultured bacterium
Lineage: Bacteria
Description: partial 16S ribosomal RNA
Rfam family: Bacterial small subunit ribosomal RNA
Source: RNAcentral